This is a small nucleolar RNA of Theobroma cacao (cacao), 107 nucleotides long. It matches the Rfam family "Plant small nucleolar RNA R71". From Rfam's summary of the family: R71 is a member of the C/D box family of snoRNAs containing the C (UGAUGA) and D (CUGA) box motifs. Multiple nearly identical copies of this snoRNA have been identified in Arabidopsis, and it is thought to function as a 2'-O-ribose methylation guide for 18S ribosomal RNA. NCBI's taxonomy places the organism in Eukaryota, Viridiplantae, Streptophyta, Magnoliopsida, Malvales, Malvaceae. The record is from Rfam.
AUCCCAUGAUGUGGACAUCUUCUUACUAGUUCUUUAAAUCUCUUCCAAGCUUCAUACAAGGAUUUACCUUCAAAUUGUGUGAAUGAGGUUAUAUCGUUCCUCAUCUU